Molecule: ribosomal RNA, 484 nt
Filed under: uncultured bacterium
Lineage: Bacteria
Description: partial 16S ribosomal RNA
Rfam family: Bacterial small subunit ribosomal RNA
Source: RNAcentral
AUUGAACGCUGGCGGCAGGCCUAACACAUGCAAGUCGAGCGGAUGAAGGGAGCUUGCUCCUGGAUUCAGCGGCGGACGGGUGAGUAAUGCCUAGGAAUCUGCCUGGUAGUGGGGGAUAACGUCCGGAAACGGGCGCUAAUACCGCAUACGUCCUGAGGGAGAAAGUGGGGGAUCUUCGGACCUCACGCUAUCAGAUGAGCCUAGGCCGGAUUAGCUAGUUGGUGGGGUAAAGGCCUACCAAGGCGACGAUCCGUAACUGGUCUGAGAGGAUGAUCAGUCACACUGGAACUGAGACACGGUCCAGACUCCUACGGGAGGCAGCAGUGGGGAAUAUUGGACAAUGGGCGAAAGCCUGAUCCAGCCAUGCGGCGUGUGUGAAGAGGGUCUUCGGAUUGUAAAGCACUUUAAGUUGGGAGGAAGGGCAGUAAGUUAAUACCUUGCUGUUUUGACGUUACCAACAGAAUAAGCACCGGCUAACUUCGUG